GUAACUGCACUGUGUUUUAAACAUUUUUGAAGUGUACAAUAAUUUGUAUAUCACAAUUAGAAGUAAUUCUCUUUUUCUUGUUUUCCUCCAGAAUACAGAAGAAUAAAGGUAGAAUAUAUCUCAUGAUACCAAGCUACUGUGUUAUACGCAGACACUGUGGGCUCCAGCACUCAUCUUUCCAGGCUCUAUCAACAAAGUGAUGAAGUCUGGACUAGGGGAGACAAUACUCUCAGUCCCUCCAGCUGCCAUUUUUUUCUUGUAUGGAGCAGGAACAUAUUCUUCACAUAUGAGCAUCUCCAAGGCCAAGCAAGAGUGAGGGAUUGUUCAGGUGCACUUGGUACUAAAAUUUCAGAAAUGAGAUCAUCCUGGUUGUGGUUACAAUGCUGCAGGGACAUCAGGCCCAUCAGCUUUGUGGGCUGGGUUUAGCACGUUGGUGCAGAAGUCUGAGAAAGGGGCGAAUACAGCACAGGGACCCUUGCAGACGUGCCCGAGGCUCACUGAUGAAACACAGCAAAUGAAGCAUUUCCUGAAGAGGCAGGUAUUGGCAUUCCACUUAUUAAUGUUACUUAACCCUGAUGGUUCUCACUGCCUUCGUUUGCUGCACAUGGCGGGUUAACAAGAUUGUAUGUCACGCUGUUAUGCUAAAUAGUGGUGCCGUGGGGCUAACUCGUUGACGUCUGCCUUUCUCAGUGAGCUGGCCAUGAUGCCACCAUAUGGGAUUCCUGUCCAGACAGCCAAAGGCAGCCUGAGCUGAUCAGCAUGCCAGCAAAUCCCUCUGGUGAUAUUUGGUCUUCCCGAGCCCAAAUCUUUUUGGGCUGAUUUCUCUGUCUGUCACCACGAAGGACAGAUAUUGCUGUGAGAACAGAUUGAUCAAGUGAUAGAAAAUUUCUGGAAGGUGCUUUUUUAACUCGAUACCAAAAAUUAGCAAGGAUGCACGUUUAUUUCUCAGUCGUAAUGCCCGUAUCUGAAC
Molecule: long non-coding RNA, 970 nt
Filed under: Calidris pugnax (ruff)
Lineage: Eukaryota; Metazoa; Chordata; Aves; Charadriiformes; Scolopacidae
Description: lncRNA (ENSCPUG00000012333.1)
Source: RNAcentral